RNAcentral lists this ribosomal RNA (499 nucleotides) under uncultured bacterium. RNAcentral's name for it is "bacterial SSU rRNA". It matches the Rfam family "Bacterial small subunit ribosomal RNA", at positions 28 to 526 of the family's 1533-position model. The record is from RNAcentral.
GAUGAACGCUGGCGGCGUGCUUAACACAUGCAAGUCGAACGAAGCAAUCAGACGGAAGUUUUCGGAUGGAAGACUGGUUGACUGAGUGGCGGACGGGUGAGUAACGCGUGGGUAACCUGCCUCAUACAGGGGGAUAACAGUUAGAAAUGACUGCUAAUACCGCAUAAGCGCACAGUAUCGCAUGAUACAGUGUGAAAAACUCCGGUGGUAUGAGAUGGACCCGCGUCUGAUUAGCUAGUUGGUGGGGUAAAGGCCUACCAAGGCGACGAUCAGUAGCCGGCCUGAGAGGGUGAACGGCCACAUUGGGACUGAGACACGGCCCAAACUCCUACGGGAGGCAGCAGUGAGGAAUAUUGCACAAUGGGGGGAACCCUGAUGCAGCAACGCCGCGUGAAGGAAGAAGGGUUUCGGCUCGUAAACUUCUAUCGACAGGGAAGAAGAAUGACGGUACCUGAAUAAGAAGCCCCGGCUAACUACGUGCCAGCCGCCGCGGUAAAAC